UGAAAAAGCCCUAGAUCGAGCGGUCAAAACAGAUCACGCCUCCUCGAUUCCUUCCACUCCCUCGACACCACCUCCCUUCCACCCGGCGGCGCCUCCUCCUUCCUCCUCAUCUGGCGGCGCCUUCUCCUUCCUCCUCGUCCGCCUUCAUCCCCAUCCGGCGGUGCCUCCUCCUUCCUACCCAUCCAGCAACGCCUCCUCCCUCCUUUCCACGGCCUCCAGCACAGCGCGCCACCGGCUAGCUGCACCACCACCGUAUCCGCGAGAGAGGAAGUUGCGGGAGGAGGAGAGCCCAUACUGUGAGGAAGACGUGGGGAGGAGCUCUACCCGGCUCAGCUGCCGGCCAGGAUCUGGAAGAAGAGGAGACCCAGUGCUGGCGUCGGCUCGAGCGAUGCGGGUUGACGGUCAGUGCAGGUGAGCGCGGCGUGUAGUGCGGUGCCCUGGACAGGUGGCAGCAGCCGUCAAGACAGGAGCGGCGCCGUGAGCGACGGCCCUUGGUCGUCUUCAGGUGUGCGUCGUUCGUGGUGGCCAGUCGUAGGUGUUGCCGGGCGACCAGAGGCGCCUGCAGCAGGCCGGUGCCCCUUAGCAAGAUUGGCAUGAACUGGGAGGCAACCGGUGUGUAGUAUGAUCCUCACAGGGUCAGAGUAUAACCCAGAUCAGUCCUUAUGGGAGAGAGGGUUUAUGCUUGCAGGGCGAAGGUAUAAACAACUAGACUUGGAGGCAGCUCACAAAUGCAAGGGGCCAUACCUUAAAAUGCAGCCACUAUCUUCUUGCUUUCGUUCCAGAAAAUAAUGCCCUCCCGUGUGUGAUCUACUGCCAUGGAAAUAGCUGAUGCAGAGCAGAUGCAAAUGAAGUUGCUGUAGUACUUCUUCCUUCAAACAUCACAGUUUUCGCACUAGACUUUUCCGGUUCAGGUCCAUCGGACGGAGAUUAUGUCAGCCUUGGUUGGCAUGAGAAAGAGGACCUCAAAUGCGCAGUAUCAUUCCUGCGCACCAACAAGCAAGUUUCCCGUAUAGACCUUCGGGCGCGAUCGAUGGGUGCUGUUACAAGCCUACUACAUGGAGCAGAAGAACUGAGAGAUGAUGUUUCUGCUGAGCCUACUAUAUGGUUCUUGGUUCUGCUAUUGAUGAGAUAUAUGUUAUCAUUCUGACGAUCUGUCGCAACAACAUAUGGUUUUUCAGCUAUAAAUUUUUGCUAUCUGGUCUCUGUUUUGGCCUCCUGAUUAGUUGAUAAUUUUUUUAUUUGAUUUGGUCUUUGUUGAUGAUUUUUGGUUUAAAAUCUUUCUCCAUGAAAAUCGUACAAGCAAACGGGUGGUCUGAACUGAUGCCAUGUUGAUAUGUCUACAUAAUCCAUGCUUACCCUUGUGGUUGGCAUCCGAGAGAAAACAUCAUAUGUCUUUUCCAAUCUUCUCAACAAUUAUUUUCUUCUGUUUUUUGUCGUGUUUGCGCUUAGGUCAUGUUCUCCCUCUUAGUUGGAGUUUAGUUUUUUUACAGGACUCGGAUCUGAGAGGGAUGCAGUGGUUGCGGAUAGCGAGAUGGUUUACUUACCAACCCUUUGCAGCGUUUGCCAACUCUCGAGUCAAAUGGUCUAACCAAGUUUUCCUCAAUCCUCUGUUCUCAUUUUGGUUUUGAUGCCUUGCUGCCUUCAACAUUAAGGUGAGGUCUGAGGCAUUGCGAUUCCUGGAAUCCUUCUUCCAUUUUUCUUUCGAUUUGAUUUUCUGCCUCCCAAAUGAUGAUUACAAGUGCAUGGUUCAUAUGAUCGAAUUGUGAUUGCUUGAACAAAAAUAGUCUUUCGCUCCUAUCUGACCACCUUUCAAUCUCACACCUUUUCAGGAGAAUCAAACAACUUAGUUUGUCUGUUUUUUUUUCAUAUUACAUGUAGAACAUUGCAUUGACAAGGUGUAGUUGUAUUGAUUCAUUAUAGGACGGUGAAGAUUGAUAUUUGGUCUUGUUCAUCGAGACUGGCAUUUAUUUGCCUUGCAAACCAUCCUGCUAUAUCAGCACCCAUAUUCUGAGUCCUCUUAUUAGUACUAUCUUGGUUCGACAUGUUAAUUCUUUUCUAUUGUUUGCCCUAUGAUUAGACUAAACUAAUAGAGAAGCAAUUUCCACUUGACUAAUAAAUAGGGUGAUUUUUUAUUUGCUUGGAUUUGAGCAGUGAUGAGACAAUUAAAUAAAUAUGAUCUUCUGGGUGUGAUUAUCAAUCGCUACUUUCUUACUGAGCUCCUAUCCAUUUGCUUUUGAGUCUGUUGUGAUUUGUUCACCAAUUUUCUAAAUUCAGCUUGAUCGCAAGAGGUAUUCGGAUCUUCAAAACAUUUUGAACUUUGAUUGCGAUUGCACAAUAGAUACUUUGACGUUUGCAAUGAUUUUCCGAACCAGUUUGAGGAUGACGACUUCAUAUCUGUCGCUCCACUCUUACGGUCUGCAUAGGUGGAUCUUUGCUGAUUGACAUACUUCUGAAUCUGAUUCGAUGAACACUCCUAUAUCUGCAUUCAAAGGCAAAGGGCGGGCUAUCAUGCCUAAAACGCCUAGCAAAUCACCAUGCCCAAAAAGCUCUCGUCGCAAGCUUUUUACUUCACCUUUGAAGAUUAAAGGGCCUGAGGUUAAGGGAGCAGACCUGUCUAACUCUACUGGAAAUGUUACUACCGAAGCUGAAAAGAGUCCUUCUGCUGGAGAUGUAGUUCAAGCUGUAUCCAGCCAAAUGAACCUAAACAAGUUGAUCAAGAGACUGAGACCGCAGUAGCUGGAGAUGGAAAGAAUGUUCUUUCCGAACAGACUAAAAACAAGAGAGCGAACGCUGCUGCCAAAGGCGCCGGCACUCCAAAGAAAGCAAAGCAGUAGUUCUUCGAUGAACUAAUCUAGACGUGUACAUAUGUUGCAUCUUCUUCCACAGGGUAUCUUCUAUGUUCUGCUUGCUUAUCAAGCUAAAUUAGCUACUAGAUGGAUAUGCUGAUCAAGAGAUUUUCUCAGCUCUCCUGCAUCGUAGCAACGGUCUAGCCAUCAGGUCUGAGGAUCGCCAGCACAGCAAACUUUUGUGGAUGCACUUGCUGUAUUUUGUGCGGAAUGAUGUAAGCUGCUGUCAUGACACCACCUCUAUUUAUGUCCUCGAACGAACCAACUACUAUACGUUGUAGAUAUCGCCAUUGUCCUUUUGCCCUUCUUUGAAUCCCAAUAGGCAUUCAGUGGGAAUUUUAAAUUCAGAGUUGAGUACUCAUUUCAGUUCUUAGUUCAGUGAGACCAAAUUUAUUUUCAUAGAAUGCCAGACAAAAUUAUCCUUAAUUCAGCUUUUCCCUGCUGUUAUUUGCCUACUUAGUGCCGAGUGAUCAAAUAUAUUCCAUGGAGUGCUUUCUUAUAUUUUAUCGCCAUUUGUUUUGAAUUCCAAUCUUCAUCCAUUCACACCCUCUUGAGACGGCUUUCCCAUAUCUUCAAAUAACUUAUACCAUGCUCAAAAUUUAGCGAUGCCUACCUAACACAAAAAAGAUGUGCAAUUUUUUAAGACCCAUUAAAUGGUACACCAAAAGUAACAAUUUCUAAGUAAUUCCAGUAGUAGUCGAUAAAAUGAGCAUGGAAUGACAUAGAUUGUUUUUUAGAACAUUUAUAGCUGUUUUGUGUUUUUUUAAGAAUAUCCUCUGCUUUAUCAUGAUGGCUUGAUUAGCUUCAUACUUUUUAGGUUUCAACCGCUUAACUAAAAGAAGAAGGCGAAUUUAGUUAAUUCCCUGCUCCUUAUUUUCACUCAAACAUUUACCUCAAAGCAUGCGCAUGGCCUGUUUCUCCUAUGGGCCGACGGCCUUCAAAUGACCGAGGAAAUAUCUACUACAGUUGUCUCUCUUAGCUUCCCGCAGCCACCAGACCCUAUCUUAUGUUCACUUACCUCAUCUCCCCCCUCCCCCCUUUGCCUGGAGCUCCUCCGCGGUAGCUGCUCCUGCGGUCGAACCAGAUACACGGAUGCCAAAGGCCCGCGGUCAGCUUCUGCAGUGCCCUACUCUUUACCAGGUGUUCAAUCUAUUUUGGUCCUGAACAAAGGCGGAUAGGAGUUCCUACGAGCAGUCAUAUUUCUCAAGCCCCCUUGGUCUAUCUUUUGAAAUCGUGCUCAUGGAGCUGGUCGAGCUAUCCACCGUUUCUCUAGCUGAAGCAAUGUUUGAGAAACUCGGGCUCCCUAAACCAGUCUACCAUGUGCAUCAGCUUGAGCAGGGUGGGUAUAAAGCGCAGGUUGAAUUUCACCGUACAAAAGAGCGUUUUCAUGCUUCAGCACGCCGGGUUAAACUGCCAAGCCCUGUAUGUGUGGAUGGGGAGGCAUCAAUGAAUCACAUGGAAUCCAGAGAGGCAUUAAUGUGUAUCAUCUUGAUUGUCGCCUUGACCUUAUCAAUCCCCUUCUUCCCUCCGUGUACCAAACCUUCUCUCGCUCACCCUGUCUCUUCCAGACCAUCGUCGUUGUUCCUCAACUUCGAUUGCAAUAUCAACACGUCAGUUCCUCAGGUGGAUCCUCACUGAAUCAGACCGCUUAACAGGCGAACCUUUACCAACAUGGUAUUAUUUCAAUUUUGAGUUGGUGUUGUUCCUUAGAGACAUGGUCAAAUAUUGAGAAAUUUUAGAUUUGCUUGCA
Molecule: long non-coding RNA, 4596 nt
Organism: Triticum aestivum (bread wheat)
Lineage: Eukaryota; Viridiplantae; Streptophyta; Magnoliopsida; Poales; Poaceae
Exons: 13
Source: RefSeq, a predicted model, not a curated record